AUUGAACGCUGGCGGCAUGCCUUACACAUGCAAGUCGAACGGCAGCACGGGAGCAAUCCUGGUGGCGAGUGGCGAACGGGUGAGUAAUACAUCGGGAACGUGCCCAGUAGUGGGGAUAACCCGGCGAAAGCCGGACUAAUACCGCGUACGACCUACGGGUGAAAGCAGGGGAUCUCAUGGCAACAUGCGACCUUGCGCUAUCGGAGCGGCCGAUGUCAGAUAG
Molecule: ribosomal RNA, 223 nt
Filed under: uncultured bacterium
Lineage: Bacteria
Description: partial 16S ribosomal RNA
Rfam family: Bacterial small subunit ribosomal RNA
Source: RNAcentral